Molecule: long non-coding RNA, 457 nt
Filed under: Brassica napus (rape)
Lineage: Eukaryota; Viridiplantae; Streptophyta; Magnoliopsida; Brassicales; Brassicaceae
Description: long non-coding RNA (BNAP_LNC015642)
Source: RNAcentral
GAGUCUUUAGGUCCGCGUUUGUGAUGAAAAAGGGAACGGCCAUGAUGAAGCCUCAAAAUUCGCUCCCUUGCGUGGCGUCCUCUUUGUGGUGCGUGGGAAUCUUCCUAGGGUUUACUACCCUUCUUUCUGCUCUUGCCGCCUAGCGGCUUUCCAACUUUCCUAUUUUCUUUCUCUCUCUUAGCAUUUGUCCGUGAUCUUCGUUCGUUCAAGCUCAGUUCUCCAUUUCAGGUAUUAUCUCUCUUUCACUCUCUCUUUUCUCUCGACUUCUUUCCUCCAGAUUCUCCUUUUAGAUCUCUUGGACGAAAUCCAAGCCCGAUUUUACCCUAGACUCUUUUUCUAUAGGCGGUAGGGUUAGGUCAAAGAAGCAGAGAUCUGGUGCCGGUCCGUCAGAAUCGAUGGACUCCUCUGGUUCUUCGCUAGAUCUUACCGCGGAGGUUGAAAACCCGAGCCGCGCAGU